UAACAUCAUAUAAAUUUAUUCACUCUGCCUCUUCCAAGUAACACAAGCAUACUCUCACACACACACACAGGCUACAGCUGCACAACCCUCAAGCAGUAGUGGCACGGCGGGCUGAGAUAACAAUGGGGUCGACAGGGGAGUACCAGCCGCUGCUUCUUGGACUUGACUCACAUUCCCAUAUACCUGGCUUGUCGUCUGCUGCCAUCGAAGAGUUUCUGGAGCACCGGCCUGUGGCGGUCCGAUGGUGGCCUAGACUGGUGGCAUGGGAGUCAAGGCUGCUCUGGAUUUUAUCUGGUUCAUCUAUCAUUGUCUCCAUAUUUAAUUACAUGCUUAGCUUUGUCACCCUCGUGUUUUGUGGCCAUUUGAGUGCCUUGGAGCUGGCUGGAGCCUCUAUUGCUAAUGUGGGAAUUCAAGGUCUUGCUUAUGGGAUUAUGUUGGGAAUGGCUAGUGCUGUGCAAACUGUGUGUGGGCAAGCAUUUGGAGCCAGAAAAUUGCCAGAAAUGGGCGUCAUAUGCCAAAGAGCAAUCAUCUUGCACUUGGGAGCAGCAGUCCUCCUUACAUUUCUGUAUUGGUGGUCAGGUCCAAUACUUAGAGCCAUAGGCCAGGCAGAAGACAUAGCAUUGCAGGGCCAAGUGUUUGCAAGGGGCCUAAUUCCUCAGCUUUAUGCAUUUGCAAUAAACUGCCCCCAGCAGAGGUUCCUUCAAGCACAAAACAUUGUCAACCCUUUGGCUUAUAUGUCUUUUGGGGUUUUCCUCAUCCACAUUCUUCUCACUUGGUUGGUGGUUUAUGUUGUGGAUUAUGGCCUACUGGGGGCUGCUCUUACUCUCAGCCUCUCUUGGUGGCUUCUUGUCAUUACAUAUGGACUUUACAUUAUUCUAAGCCCCAAGUGCAAGGAAACUUGGACUGGCUUCUCUUGGAAUGCCUUCAAAGGAAUUUGGCCUUAUUUUAAGUUAACUCUUUCCUCUGCUAUCAUGCUCUGCUUGGAGAUAUGGUACAGCCAGGGGCUGGUGCUGAUAUCAGGGCUUCUCUCCAAUCCUACAGUUGCUCUAGACUCCAUUUCUAUUUGCAUGAACUACUUGAACUGGGACUUGCAAUUUAUGUUAGGCCUAAGUGCAGGAGCCAGUGUUCGAGUCAGUAAUGAGCUAGGUGCUGGUAAUGCAAAGGUGGCCAAAUUUUCAGUGUUUGUUGUGAACGGGACCAGCAUACUGAUUAGCAUAGUCUUCAGUGCAAUUGUAUUGAUUUUUAAAGUUGGAUUAAGCAAGCUUUUUACGAGUGAUUCCGUAGUUAUUGCGGCAGUAUCUGAUUUAACCCCAUUGCUGGCCAUCUCUGUUUUCUUGAAUGGCAUUCAACCUAUACUCUCAGGGGUGGCAAUUGGAAGUGGAUGGCAAGCUGUUGUGGCCUAUGUUAACCUGACUUGCUACUACGUUAUCGGUCUUCCGAUUGGAUGUGUUCUUGGCUUCAAAUCCAACAUGGGAGUAGCAGGUAUUUGGUGGGGGAUGAUUAUUGGAGUUUUUCUACAAACAGUAACUCUAAUUAUUCUCACCGCCAGAACAAAUUGGGAUGCUGAGGUUCAAAAAGCAGCUGACCGGUUGAAGAAAGCUGCAGAAAUACGAGAGUCGCUGACCAAUGUAUAAGGCCAUGGAGGUUUUCAAAACUUGAUUUCACCUGCUGUUCACCACAGUGAAUUGUCGAAACUGCCCUCCACUAAACUUUUUCUUCCGUUUCCUCUUUGCCCUUCCCCAUGGGAUCUCUCCUUUUCGCCCUUCGUCGGUUUUUCAUGUUCCAACACAGAACGCGCCACGUCCUCCUUCUCCUACUCUUCGCGUUCCCAAAUCCGAAUUCCGUACCGGCCUUUGCAGAUUCCGACGCACAGAAAACCCGCUUUCAACACUGGGUUUGAAAUCGGCGCUGACAACUGAGGACCGCGCAAUAAAGGUAUCCUCUUAAUAUUUAUGUAAAGAGCUGCUUAGCUUAGGUUAGGUAGCUGGCUUGCUAUAUUUUAUUUGGUGAUGAAGAAAAGAAGCAGCUAAUGGGAUUGCGAAGCAUGAAGUUAACUACUUCAGUCGGCCGGGUCGUCUAUCAUUGACCGGCGUCUAAAGCCCCGCUACCAAUCAAUAACUUGAAUAUUGGUAUUUUGCUGGCCUAACUUGUUAGAUUAUAUUUUUAACUUUGAAUUCAAACAGCUCCAUAGUUGACAUUAAUAGUGGAACCGCGCAAGAGAAGAGGACAAGUUUGCUGUGCAUUCAGGUAAGACACCCCCAAAAUCGUUCAUAUUAAUGCCUAGGUGUUUUAAAUUGGUGGCUUUAGUCAAAUCACAGAUAAAGCUCGAGUCAUUAAGUCCCCCACUUCCUAGAUUGUUGGAGGUUAGAGAAAAUCUCUCAAGCUUAUGCAAAUUUGCCAAAGAUGGGACUUUACCAUGUAGGCUGUUUCCUUGCAUUCCUAGAUGACCUAGACUUGAGGCAUUAGAUAUUGAUACUGGAAUAGUUCCACUAAAUUGGUUAGAAGCAAUAUCAAAAUACUGGAGACUUGGAGAAAAAA
Prunus avium (sweet cherry) is the source of this 2538-nucleotide non-coding RNA. NCBI's taxonomy places the organism in Eukaryota, Viridiplantae, Streptophyta, Magnoliopsida, Rosales, Rosaceae. The record is from RefSeq and is a predicted model, not a curated record.